UUAGGGUGGCAGAUUAAGUGCAAAGAUUUUAAGAGUCUUUUAUAAUGUUAAAGUUUCCUAAAA
This 63-nucleotide transfer RNA is filed under the name Hypsibius dujardini. RNAcentral describes it as "transfer RNA-Leu(UAA)". Lineage: Eukaryota; Metazoa; Tardigrada; Eutardigrada; Parachela; Hypsibiidae. The record is from RNAcentral.